UGCAGUACACUGGCCCUCGAGGCCUGGAGUUUGACACCACUGCAGAAUAGCAUCUCUCAAAAACCAGCACAUCACACCUUGAGGCAGAUGACCUACAGCAGCAGAAGACCACACUCCCCUGUCAGCUAAUAACAUGAAACUAAGGCUAAAAUUCACCUGGACACAUCAAAAUAGGGCACCAGCACCAAUUGGAGUAUUGCUGCUGAUCAUGUCCAUCCCUUUAUGACCGCAGUGUACCCAUCUUUUGCGAGCUGCUUUGAAGCGGAAAACACACCAAGUCAAAGAGUUCAAAUCAUCUCAAACUGGUUUCUUGAACAUUGUACUCAAGUGACCUGCACGGUCACCAGAUCUUAGUCCUACAAUAGAGGACAUUUGGGAUGUAAUGGAAAUGGAGACUCACAUAAUGUACGUGCAGCGGACAAAUCUGCAGCAAUUGUGUGAUCCUAUCAUGUUUCCAGCACCUUGCUGAAUCUAUGGCAUGAAAACAUGAAGGCUGUUCUGAAGGCAAAAGGUGAUCCAAAUCAAUACUCGCAAGGUGUAUCUGACAAAGUGACCGUGUUUCCAGAACGAGUACGCAGGUUCCCCUCAGAUGUCGUAACAACGCCUGACUGUGAUGAUCGUGUUGCUUGAGGACUUAAUGGCAUUAGUGUCUUCGAAUAAACAAAUCGUAGUAUCUUUCCCUCACAUCUUUUUUUUGUGAAUGGGGGUAUUUAGGCCUGCUUCCUUAUGAUCGUGUCUCCUGCUGUGUUUUUCUUUUUCUUUUUUUACAUAUGAGAUCAGAAAUUCAUCAAGAGCGCCACUGAGCAGUGAUAUAGAGUUACAUUUGGAGUCAUUAAUUUACCACACGCAGCAGAUCUGAAGGGAUUUAUCUGGAUAGCAUUAAAGCAACUUUAUUGAAACCAUCUAUAUUGCCACCCAUGCUGUUUUCAUGUAUAACCAGAUUUGUCAUCAUGAUUAAAUUCACUACAUCAGAAUAUUUUACACGAAUAUAACUUCGUUCUCUUUAUCUCGCCAUGUAUCCAUCAAUCUAUUCCCAGCUCCAUCUCACUGUGUUUCCACCAUAAUCAGAGUUGUGAUCACAUCCAUAUUCACAUCCCACCUGGAUCCAUAUUUCUACUCAUCCAUAUUGGCAACGGG
Long non-coding RNA from Oreochromis niloticus (Nile tilapia), 1137 nucleotides. RefSeq lists it as uncharacterized. The record is from RefSeq and is a predicted model, not a curated record. Lineage: Eukaryota; Metazoa; Chordata; Actinopteri; Cichliformes; Cichlidae. The transcript has 3 exons.